CAUUAUCGAAAUCCUUAGGAUGUUGCUGGCCCUCUAUUGGGGCAUGUGCACUCCGCCUUUUCUAUUCACCUGUGAACUUAUUGUAGGCCGGACCGUAAAAAAGUCUGUGUCUAUGUUUUUACACACACCCCAAAAAAGUUUAACGGAAUGUCUUUAAAUAGAGUAGGCCCUUUGUUGGCUGAAAUAUAUUAUAAUACAACUUUCAACAAUGGAUCUCUUGGUUCUCGCAUCGAUGAAGAACGCAGCGAAUUGCGAUAUGUAAUGUGAAUUGCAGAAUUCAGUGAAUCAUCGAAUCUUUGAACGCACCUUGCGCCCUUUGGUAUUCCGAAGGGCAUGCCUGUUUGAGUGUCAUUAAAUUCUCAACUUCAAAUCCUUUGCUGGAUUAUUGAAGCUUGGACUAUGGAGGUUAUUUUGCCGGCAGUACAAAUGUCAGCUCCUCUUAAAUGCAUUAGCAGAACUUUUCAUAAAGGGACCGGCUUUGGUUUGAUAAUUGUAUAUCUAUGCCGUCGCUGUGGACUUUGCUGUUCAGCUUACAACUGUCUUCGGACUGUCUCUUCAGAGGCAUAAUUUUAUUUAAGCUUGACCUCAAAUCAGGUAGGACUACCC
RNAcentral lists this ribosomal RNA (606 nucleotides) under uncultured Basidiomycota. Its description in RNAcentral is "eukaryotic LSU rRNA". The stretch from base 198 to 351 matches the Rfam family "5.8S ribosomal RNA". Lineage: Eukaryota; Fungi; Basidiomycota. The record is from RNAcentral.